This 66-nucleotide transfer RNA is filed under the name Brasilocerus sp. 2 DTA-2012. RNAcentral describes it as "tRNA-Gly". The record is from RNAcentral. Lineage: Eukaryota; Metazoa; Arthropoda; Insecta; Coleoptera; Phengodidae.
AUUUAUAUAAUAUAAAUUAUUAUUUUUAACUUCCAAUUAAAAAAUUUAGACAAACUAAUAUAAAUA